Sapajus apella (tufted capuchin) is the source of this 1614-nucleotide RNA transcript. It is a transcript of the gene named acetyl-CoA acetyltransferase 1, with no coding region annotated. Lineage: Eukaryota; Metazoa; Chordata; Mammalia; Primates; Cebidae. The record is from RefSeq and is a predicted model, not a curated record. The transcript is spliced from 13 exons.
UACCGCUCCGCGCUCUGCGACCAUGGCUGUGCUGGCGGCACUUCUGCGCGGCGGCAGCCGCAGUCCCCUGCUCCGGAGGCUGCUGCAGGAAAUAAGAUACGUGGAACGAAGUUAUGUAUCACAACCCACUUUGAAGGAAGUGGUCAUAGCAAGUGCUGUAAGAACACCCAUUGGAUCCUUCUUAGGCAGCCUUUCUUUGCUGCCAGCCACUAAACUCGGUUCCAUUGCAAUUCAGGGAGCCAUUGAAAAGGCAGGGAUUCCAAAAGAAGAAGUGAAAGAAGCAUACAUGGGUAAUGUUCUACAAGGAGGCACAGGACAAGCCCCUACAAGGCAGGCAGUAUUGGGUGCAGGCUUACCUAUUUCUACUCCAUGCACCACCAUAAACAAAGUUUGUGCUUCAGGAAUGAAAGCCAUCAUGAUGGCCUCUCAAAAUCUCAUGUGUGGACAUCAGGAUGUGAUGGUGGCAGGUGGGAUGGAGAGCAUGUCCAAUGUUCCAUAUGUGAUGAACAGAGGAGCAACGCCCUAUGGUGGGGUAAAGCUUGAAGAUUUGAUCGUGAAAGACGGGCUAACUGAUGUCUACAAUAAAAUUCAUAUGGGCAACUGUGCUGAGAAUACAGCAAAGAAGCUGAAUAUUGGACGAGAUGAACAGGACACUUAUGCUAUUAACUCUUACACCAGAAGUAAAACAGCAUGGGAAGCUGGGAAAUUUGCAGAUGAAGUUAUUCCUGUCACAGUUACAGUAAAAGGUAAACCAGAUGUAGUGGUGAAAGAAGAUGAAGAAUACAAACGUGUUGAUUUUAGCAAAGUUCCAAAGCUGAAGACAGUUUUCCAGAAAGAAAAUGGCACAGUAACAGCUGCCAAUGCCAGUACGCUGAAUGAUGGAGCAGCUGCUGUGGUUCUGAUGACUGCAGAUGCAGCCGAGAGGCUCAACGUUAAACCACUGGCAAGAAUAGUAGCAUUUGCUGAUGCGGCUGUAGAACCUAUUGAUUUCCCAAUUGCUCCUGCAUAUGCCGUACCUAUGGUUCUUAAAGAUGCAGGAUUGAAAAAGGAAGAUAUUGCAAUGUGGGAAGUAAAUGAAGCUUUUAGUCUCGUUGUACUAGCAAACAUUAAAAUGCUGGAGAUUGAUCCCCAAAAAGUGAAUAUCAAUGGAGGAGCUGUUUCUCUGGGGCAUCCAAUUGGGCAAAAACCAUUUCUGAUAGAUGGUAUCAGUACUGAACAGAGACGUGUCACAUCUGUUGUUUCAAACCCAAUAAUGUUUAAUGCUGAAGAAAAAGCGUACAUUUAGACUUUUUCCCCCUUUUCUUCCUCCUUCCUAUUUAUUUCAUUAGCUUUAGGGUACAGUGACUUUUGGUUACAUGGAUGAAUUUACAAUGGUGGAGGCUGGUUUCAGUGCACCUGUCACCCAAGUAGUAUACAUUGUACCCAAUACAUGUUCUGUACUUUAAAAGAUCUGUGACCCUUCCUGAAACAAGUCCUUCAAGUUUUAGAAUAGUAGUAGUUAAUUCAGUAAGAAGUAGUGGCUAGGAAGGUUUUCAAGAAGUUAAACUAGAAUAGAAAUAUUUUUGGUUUGUCAUAAAUUCUGUACUUCAUUAAAGAAAUAAAUGCUUUCUUUAA